UAGGGAAUUUUGGGCAAUGGGCGAAAGCCUGACCCAGCAACGCCGCGUGUGGGAUGAAGGCCCUCGGGUCGUAAACCACUGUCAGGAGGAAAGAAAAGUCGGCCGGAUAAUACUCGGUCGACCUGACGGUACCUCCAAAGGAAGCACCGGCUAACUCCGUGCCAGCAGCCGCGGUAAUACGGAGGGUGCAAGCGUUGUUCGGAAUUACUGGGCGUAAAGCGCGUGUAGGUGGUCGAGUAAGUCGAAUGUGAAAGCCCCGGGCUCAACCCGGGAAGUGCAUCCGAAACUGCUCGACUAGAGUCCCGGAGAGGAAGGCAGAAUUCCCAAUGUAGGGGUGAAAUCCGUAGAUAUUGGGAGGAAUACCGGUGGCGAAGGCGGCCUUCUGGACGGUGACUGACACUCAGACGCGAAAGCGUGGGGAGCAAACAGGAUUAGAUACCCAAGUAGUCCCUGAGCGGGCUGGCAAGGCGCAU
RNAcentral lists this ribosomal RNA (473 nucleotides) under uncultured bacterium. RNAcentral's name for it is "bacterial SSU rRNA". It matches the Rfam family "Bacterial small subunit ribosomal RNA", at positions 355 to 825 of the family's 1533-position model. The record is from RNAcentral.